This 1134-nucleotide long non-coding RNA is filed under the name Anolis carolinensis (green anole). RNAcentral's name for it is "lncRNA (ENSACAG00000035781.1)". Lineage: Eukaryota; Metazoa; Chordata; Lepidosauria; Squamata; Anolidae. The record is from RNAcentral.
GGAAGCGCAGGGUCACGUGAUUUUGUCACCGUUUCGAAUUGGAAGUGGGAGAGUCAGGAGAGAGUGAAGUCAUUGGUUCUUGCUGUUUCCCAAACUCUGGCCUGGUCUUCCAGGUGUUUUAGACUUUAGCUCCCAGAAACCCUAACCAUUGGGCAAGGCAGCUGAGGCUUCAGGGAGUUGAUGCCCAAAACCUUUAAGAGGACUAAGGGCCCUUCCACACAGCCCUAUAUCCCAGAUCUUCAGAAGAUAAAGACCAACAAGCCACUCUAAACACCUUUGCAGAAGCAUACCUGAGAGAAGCUCACUCAACCUCUCACUGAACCUCGAGAAAACCAAAAUGCUCUUCCAACAGGCACCAGCCAAUCCCUCUGCAAUACCAGGAAUACAGCUUAAUGGUGGAACACUAGAAAAUGUCAACAAUUUCCCCUACCUUGGCAGCCACCUCUGAACAAAAGUAACAUUGACACUGAAAUAAAACACUGUCUGUGCUCUGCGAGUGCAGCAUUCUUCCAAAUGAAGCAGAGUGUUUGAGGACCAGGACAUCUGUAGAGAUAUCAAGGUGCUUGUCCUCCCAACCCUGCUAUACGCCUGCGAAAUGUGGACUGUCUACAAACGUCACACUCAACUCCUGGAAAGAUUCCAUCAGCAUUGCCUCCAAAAAAUCUUGAAAAUCUCUUGGGAAAACAGAUGGACAAAUGUCAGUAUGCUGGAAGAAGCAAAGAUCGCAGCAUUGAAGCGAUGCUCCUACACCAUCAACUCUGCUGGACUGCCCACGUCUGAAUGCCCGAUCACCAUCUCCCAAAGCAGUUACUAUACUCCCAACUCAGGAAUGGAAAACAGAAUGUUGGUGGACAAGAAAAGAGAUUUAAAGAUGGGCUUAAAGCCAAACUUAAAAACUGUGGCAUAGACACUAAGAACUGGGAAGCCCUGGCCCCUGAGCGCUCUAACUGGAGGUCAGCUGUGACCAGCAGUGCUGCAGAAUUCGAAGAGGAUCCUGAGUUCUCGUGCUUUGGAGUAAAUUUGCUUACUUGGAAGAAUUUUCCUUUUUUAUUACGACAUCUGAAAUUGAGAGAGCUGGGAAUCUCAAUAGAUUCCUCUUCUGCUACCAUCUUAUUAUCACACCCCUCCACUUGA